AUUGAACGCUGGCGGCAUGCCUUACACAUGCAAGUCGAACGGCAGCACGGACUUCGGUCUGGUGGCGAGUGGCGAACGGGUGAGUAAUGUAUCGGAACGUACCUUUCAGUGGGGGAUAACGUAGCGAAAGUUACGCUAAUACCGCAUAUUCUGUGAGCAGGAAAGCAGGGGAUCGCAAGACCUUGCGCUGAUUGAGCGGCCGAUAUCAGAUUAGCUAGUUGGUGGGGUAAAGGCCUACCAAGGCUACGAUCUGUAGCGGGUCUGAGAGGAUGAUCCGCCACACUGGAACUGAGACACGGUCCAGACUCCUACGGGAGGCAGCAGUGGGGAAUUUUGGACAAUGGGGGCAACCCUGAUCCAGCCAUGCCGCGUGAGUGAAGAAGGCCUUCGGGUUGUAAAGCUCUUUCUAGCCGGGAAGGAAAUCGCAUCAGCUAAUACCUACGGUGGUGGAGUGACGGUACCGGAAAUAAGAAGCACCGGCUAACUACGU
RNAcentral lists this ribosomal RNA (490 nucleotides) under uncultured bacterium. Its description in RNAcentral is "bacterial SSU rRNA". It matches the Rfam family "Bacterial small subunit ribosomal RNA", at positions 30 to 506 of the family's 1533-position model. The record is from RNAcentral.